Molecule: ribosomal RNA, 426 nt
Filed under: uncultured Actinomycetes bacterium
Lineage: Bacteria; Bacillati; Actinomycetota; Actinomycetes
Description: bacterial SSU rRNA
Rfam family: Bacterial small subunit ribosomal RNA
Source: RNAcentral
GCGGCCUAUCAGCUUGUUGGUGAGGUAACGGCUCACCAAGGCUACGACGGGUAACCGGCCUGAGAGGGCGAACGGUCACACUGGGACUGAGACACGGCCCAGACUCCUACGGGAGGCAGCAGUGGGGAAUAUUGGGCAAUGGGCGGAAGCCUGACCCAGCGACGCCGCGUGAGGGAUGAAGGCCUUCGGGUUGUAAACCUCUUUCAGCAGGGAAGAAGCGAAAGUGACGGUACCUGCAGAAGAAGCACCGGCUAGCUAUGUGCCAGCAGCCGCGGUAAUACAUAGGGUGCAAGCGUUGUCCGGAAUUAUUGGGCGUAAAGAGCUCGUAGGUGGCUCGUCACGUCGAAUGUGAAACCCUGAGGCUCAACCUCAGGCCUGCAUCCGAUACGGGCGAACUGGAGUGUGGUAGGGGAGACUGGAAUUCCU